This 117-nucleotide small nuclear RNA is filed under the name Nelumbo nucifera (sacred lotus). RNAcentral's name for it is "U5 spliceosomal RNA". It matches the Rfam family "U5 spliceosomal RNA". Rfam says of the family: U5 RNA is a component of both types of known spliceosome. The record is from Rfam by way of RNAcentral. Lineage: Eukaryota; Viridiplantae; Streptophyta; Magnoliopsida; Proteales; Nelumbonaceae.
AGCCGUGUGGUGAGCGCAGAGCGAACCAUUCUUUCGCCUUUUACUAAAGAAUACCGUGUGCUCGUCGCAUUCAACGGCAUACGCUUAUUUUUGAAAGGCUUUCUCAGUGCUGAGAAG